UGUUCCCCUCGGGCCCUCGCUCCCUGCGCCGAUGGGCAGCCUCCCUUCACAGCCCUCCACCGGCCGGCCCCAGCCCAGGCUCUUAGGAUGCCACUUUUGAGGUAGAAUCAACAAAUUUGACCUUAAAAUCUGGCCUUGUCCUCCUAAGAGCAGCUAACCGAGGGUCUUUGCAGAGAGGGGAAGUGAUAGAUGCAGGGCUUUGAAGGAAACAGAGGGAAAGUUAUAGGUGGGUUCCCCCUGGUUUGUGAAUUGGUGUUUUGUUUUGAAAACCCAGAUAUUUUCACCCUCCUGAGAGCUGCUGCUUUUAGGAAAAGCCUUGUUUUCAUCCAGAUGUCUCUAAUAACAAGACUACAGAACUUACACUUAUACUGGAUUGUGAAGACACUGGAUAAAUUGAAUACAUUUCAUGACUCAUUUGCCAGCAGUUCUGAUACCUGAAUGUAGCCACUCCAUUCUUUGUUAUUAAGCAAAAAAUAGAGAGAUUGAGUAACCUACAAGGAAGAUUUAUUCAAGGUUUAAUCCAAGAAAGGGAUCCAAGACAAGGAAGUAAGCAAACUACUGUUGUUUUAUAAUCCAGUAAGAAAAUAGGGAUCAAGAGCCCAGCCUUGUCAGUGAGUGAAAUUAGUCUAAAGAAUGUGAGAUCUGUAAUUAUGAAACUGACUGAGAUACAGGUUAUUAAAACAAAAAAAAAUGCAGUUCCUCAGUGCCUUAACAACAGGACUCUCCUAUGGAAAGACAUGGAAAACAGAUUUUUUAAACUUUGUUGUAUUUCCUGCUUAUAGCAAACCAUUAAUAUUUGGUGUCAAUUGCACCAGGGAUCCAAACUACUCAUUUCUGUCUGUAGCCUACUCUCAGUAAAAAUGGAGUUUACACUUCAAUAGCUUGCUUUCUUUCAUUACUCGUUUUAAUAUCAUGUCUUGGCCUCCUGUGGUGCCUUCCACAUUCGGCAGUUCUGUGUGCCUCACAUCCUUUCAGGACAAAAUGUCAGAUUUUUAAAAAAAGUCCUUUUUAAACCUACAGAUUCAAAAGUAGAAGGCCUGGAGUUGUAGAGAAUCACAUGUUCUGCACUGCACCACUGAAAAGUC
Long non-coding RNA from Passer montanus (Eurasian tree sparrow), 1085 nucleotides. RefSeq lists it as uncharacterized. Lineage: Eukaryota; Metazoa; Chordata; Aves; Passeriformes; Passeridae. The record is from RefSeq and is a predicted model, not a curated record. The transcript is spliced from 3 exons.